Molecule: long non-coding RNA, 185 nt
Organism: Oncorhynchus tshawytscha (Chinook salmon)
Lineage: Eukaryota; Metazoa; Chordata; Actinopteri; Salmoniformes; Salmonidae
Exons: 2
Source: RefSeq, a predicted model, not a curated record
UGUACGCUCUCCUGUACUCCUUCCUGCCCGUAGCUGCCAGCAUUGAGCCAAAGGCCGAGAGAUACCUGCUGCUGCUCAAUGAUUCUUGCGACACUUUGCCACCACACAGGGGUCUAGACACAAAUGCACUACAUUACUUUGCACUGAAUUUUACAUUUUUAAAUAAAAUAACUAGUAGUUCAAAA